AAGAACGGGCGGACGGCCGCUCCUGGAUCUCACCCCUCCGCUCCGCGGAGUGUGGAAGACCCGGGGGAGGAAAGUCCGAGCUCCACAGGGCAGGGUGGUCGCUAACGGCGACCGGGGCGCGACGCGAGAAGCGCUCCAGGGACAGUGCCACAGAGACCAGACCGCCGAUCGCCCGGGCCGCGAGGUCCGGGAGGAGGCAAGGGUGAAACGGUGGAGUAAGAGCCCACCGCCUGCACGGCGACGUGCAGGGCAUGGCAAACCCCACCCGGAGGAAGGCCAAAUAGGACGGCGUCCGAGACCGGCCCGGUCGAAGCCGUCGGGUAGGCCGUUCGAAGCGGCGGGCAACCGCCGUCCCAGAUGAAUGGCCGUCGCCGUCGUUCCGUGAGGAGCGGCGGAACAGAACUCGGCUUACAGCCCGUUCCAACAG
RNAcentral lists this RNase P RNA (427 nucleotides) under Candidatus Brocadiia bacterium. Its description in RNAcentral is "RNase P RNA component class A". It matches the Rfam family "Bacterial RNase P class A". From Rfam's summary of the family: Ribonuclease P (RNase P) is a ubiquitous endoribonuclease, found in archaea, bacteria and eukarya as well as chloroplasts and mitochondria. Lineage: Bacteria; Pseudomonadati; Planctomycetota; Candidatus Brocadiia. The record is from RNAcentral.